RNAcentral lists this ribosomal RNA (490 nucleotides) under uncultured bacterium. RNAcentral's name for it is "partial 16S ribosomal RNA". It matches the Rfam family "Bacterial small subunit ribosomal RNA", at positions 30 to 507 of the family's 1533-position model. The record is from RNAcentral.
AUUGAACGCUGGCGGCAUGCUUUACACAUGCAAGUCGGACGGCAGCGGGGUAGUGCUUGCACUACUGCCGGCGAGUGGCGAACGGGCGAGUAAUAUAUUGGAACGUACCGAGUAAUGGGGGAUAACCAAUCGAAAGAUUGGCUAAUACCGCAUACGCUCUGAGGAGGAAAGCAGGGGACCUUCGGGCCUUGCGUUAUUCGAGCGGCCAAUAUCUGAUUAGCUAGUUGGUGGGGUAAGGGCCUACCAAGGCGACGAUCAGUAGCGGGUCUGAGAGGAUGAUCCGCCACACUGGGACUGAGACACGGCCCAGACUCCUACGGGAGGCAGCAGUGGGGAAUUUUGGACAAUGAGCGCAAGCCUGAUCCAGCCAUGCCGCGUGUCUGAAGAAGGCCUUCGGGUUGUAAAGGACUUUUGUUAGGGAAGAAAAAGGAGCGGUUAAUACCCGUUUCUGCUGACGGUACCUAAAGAAUAAGCACCGGCUAACUACGUG